Molecule: ribosomal RNA, 441 nt
Filed under: uncultured bacterium
Lineage: Bacteria
Description: partial 16S ribosomal RNA
Rfam family: Bacterial small subunit ribosomal RNA
Source: RNAcentral
CCUACGGGUGGCAGCAGUGGGGAAUAUUGCACAAUGGGGGAAACCCUGAUGCAGCGACGCCGCGUGAGUGAAGAAGUAAUUCGUUAUGUAAAGCUCUAUCAGCAGGGAAGAACAAUGACGGUACCUGACUAAGAAGCACCGGCUAAAUACGUGCCAGCAGCCGCGGUAAUACGUAUGGUGCAAGCGUUAUCCGGAUGUACUGGGUGUAAAGGGAGCGCAGGCGGCGCGUUAAGCCGGGGGUGAAAGCCCGCGGCCCAACAGCGGGACUGCAUUGGGUACUGGCGAGCUGGAGUGCAGGAGGGGUAGGCGGAAUUCAUAGUGUAGCGGUGAAAUGCGUAGAUAUUAGGAGGAACACCAGUGGCGAAGGCGGCCUACUGGACGGUGACUGACGCUGAGGCUCGAAAGCGUGGGGAGCAAACAGGAUUAGAUACCCGGGUAGUC